GGUGGUUUUGGGUGAUGGAUCCCAGAAUCGGGCUCCCUCCUCUCUGGUUCUGGUUGCAUCACCCGAGAACUGCG
This is a non-coding RNA of Myotis davidii, 74 nucleotides long. The record is from Rfam. Lineage: Eukaryota; Metazoa; Chordata; Mammalia; Chiroptera; Vespertilionidae.